This 402-nucleotide ribosomal RNA is filed under the name uncultured bacterium. RNAcentral's name for it is "bacterial SSU rRNA". It matches the Rfam family "Bacterial small subunit ribosomal RNA", at positions 355 to 774 of the family's 1533-position model. The record is from RNAcentral.
UGGGGAAUAUUGGACAAUGGGCGAAAGCCUGAUCCAGCAAUGCCGCGUGAGUGAUGAAGGCCUUAGGGUUGUAAAGCUCUUUUACCCGGGAUGAUAAUGACAGUACCGGGAGAAUAAGCCCCGGCUAACUCCGUGCCAGCAGCCGCGGUAAUACGGAGGGGGCUAGCGUUAUUCGGAAUUACUGGGCGUAAAGCGCACGUAGGCGGCUUUGUAAGUAAGAGGUGAAAGCCCGGAGCUCAACUCCGGAACUGCCUUUUAGACUGCAUCGCUUGAAUCCAGGAGAGGUGAGUGGAAUUCCGAGUGUAGAGGUGAAAUUCGUAGAUAUUCGGAAGAACACCAGUGGCGAAGGCGGCUCACUGGACUGGUAUUGACGCUGAGGUGCGAAAGCGUGGGGAGCAAACA